GCCCAUUGCCUCUUGUCCUAUUCACUGGGCACCACUGAAAAGAGCAUGGCUCCACCUUCUGUACACCUUCCCUUCAGGAAGAAAAAUGACUAAAACUUGAAGUCAGUCUCUGGCAUGCUUGAAUACCAUAUGCCUGCACUAUUGAGAGACUGGAGCAGAGUAUCUGGAGAAAGAUGAGAGAGUGUGGGUGGCAAUAGAAAAAACAACCACGACUAUAAUUUCUGGAAAUUAUUUCAGCUGAAUGAAUCCAGUGAAGACAUCUUGUGGGAAUAGGAGAGGUCUUGCAGGUCAGUUUUGGGGAACAGUUCCAAAUUCUUCUGUUG
Molecule: long non-coding RNA, 323 nt
Organism: Neopelma chrysocephalum (saffron-crested tyrant-manakin)
Lineage: Eukaryota; Metazoa; Chordata; Aves; Passeriformes; Pipridae
Exons: 3
Source: RefSeq, a predicted model, not a curated record